CCGCACGGGUGAGUAACACGUAUCCAACCUGCCGUCUACUCUUGGACAGCCUUCUGAAAGGAAGAUUAAUACAAGAUGGCAUCAUGAGUCCGCAUGUUCACAUGAUUAAAGGUAUUCCGGUAGACGAUGGGGAUGCGUUCCAUUAGAUAGUAGGCGGGGUAACGGCCCACCUAGUCUUCGAUGGAUAGGGGUUCUGAGGGGAAGGUCCCCCACAUUGGAACUGAGACACGGUCCAA
RNAcentral lists this ribosomal RNA (236 nucleotides) under uncultured bacterium. RNAcentral describes it as "partial 16S ribosomal RNA". It matches the Rfam family "Bacterial small subunit ribosomal RNA", at positions 98 to 334 of the family's 1533-position model. The record is from RNAcentral.